Non-coding RNA from Salmo salar (Atlantic salmon), 54 nucleotides. Lineage: Eukaryota; Metazoa; Chordata; Actinopteri; Salmoniformes; Salmonidae. The record is from Rfam.
GUGUUGCAAGUUUGUAAGUCGCUCUGGAUAAGAGCGUCUGCUAAAUGACUAAAA